GACGAACGCUGGCGGCGUGCUUAACACAUGCAAGUCGAACGGGCCCGCCCCUGUUUUUGGGGGUGGGUUGAGUGGCGAACGGGUGAGUAUCACGUGAGUAACCUGCCCCCUGCUCCUGGAUAACUGCUUGAAAGGGUGGCUAAUACGGGGUGUGCCGGCUGGUCCGCAUGGGCCUGGUCGGGAUAGUUUCAUCUUCGGGUGUUUCGGUGGGGGAUGGGCUCGCGGCCUAUCAGCUUGUUGGUGGGGUGAUGGCCCACCAAGGCGGUGACGGGUAGCCGGCCUGAGAGGGUGGGCGGCCACACUGGGACUGAGACACGGCCCAGACUCCUGCGGGAGGCAGCAGUGGGGGGUAUUGCACAAUGGGCGGAAGCCUGAUGCAGCGACGUCGCGUGAGGGAUGGAGGCCUUCGGGUUGUGAACCUCUUUCUCCGGUGGUGAAGGCCCUGUCCGUUGCGGCGGGGUUGACGGUAGCCGGGUAUGAAGCGCCGGCUAACUACGU
RNAcentral lists this ribosomal RNA (498 nucleotides) under uncultured bacterium. RNAcentral's name for it is "partial 16S ribosomal RNA". It matches the Rfam family "Bacterial small subunit ribosomal RNA", at positions 28 to 506 of the family's 1533-position model. The record is from RNAcentral.